UACACAGGUCUAAUGGUUAGGAUUGCCGCCUUCCAAGCGGCAGGUUCGGGUUCAAUUCCCGGCUGAGUAU
Zasmidium cellare ATCC 36951 is the source of this 70-nucleotide non-coding RNA. Lineage: Eukaryota; Fungi; Ascomycota; Dothideomycetes; Mycosphaerellales; Mycosphaerellaceae. The record is from the annotation of a RefSeq genome assembly.